UUUAAAAAUUAAAGCCCUUCAGCCUAGCAUUUAAGGUCCCCAAUAAAAAGGCCUAAAUCACCUUUUAUAAAUCUUCAUUUUGUCCAUCAUUUCCCAGCUACCUGUAUACUUCCUUCUGUAAGAUCUCCAGAGUCCACUAUGCCACAUCUCCCUGAGUAGCUCUGUGGCCCCAUCUAUCUGAACAUAGCUGAUUGGCAGGGAUAGACACCUGACCCAGCUGGAUUAAUCAGAUUAUCUGCCCAAGGAAUUUGGAUUUAAGACUCAGCAACUCAGCCCAAUCAAUUACCUAAUGUUACUGGCCCUGGAAGACAUUAUAGAUACAAGUGUGUGGCUGUCAUUUUGCAGCAGCUAUUUGUAUGCUGAGACCUGGAAGAAACGAGUACUCUGCAGAGAGAGGCAGGAAAAUGGGGCCAAAAUCCAGAAAAAGGUAGGAUCUUUGGGAAGUGAUUAAGUCAUGAUCAUGGAGCCCUUGUAAAUGGAAUUUGCAGUCUUAUAAAGAGACCUCAAUGAGCUACCUGGCCCUGUCUGCUUUGUGAGGACACAGUGAGAAGCCAGCCAUCUAUGUACCAGGAAGUGGGCCCGCAAUAGAGACUGAGUCUGUUAGGACUUUGAUGUGGGACUUUCCAGCCUCCAGAACUGUGAGAAAUAAAUUUCUGUUGUUUAAGAUAUCCAGUCUAUGCUAUUUUCUUAUAGCAGUCUAAACAGACUAUGACUGUCCUUUUCAGGGUAUUUUCAGUUGGUUAAGUGGUAGUGCCUGCUAGAUAGCUCUACUAUAAAAUUAUUAUUUUUUUGUAAUUGAUAAGUGUGUUGGGAGAAUAUGCUUUGAGACUGUGCAAAUAUCCUAUUUCUCCUCAAUAACGGAUAUGCUCUUAAUCAUCAUUCUAUACUUUCCCCACGUAGAAUAAUUUUUUGUUAGGAAUCAGGGACAUGAUCAUAGAAAAGAAAGAAUGUGAUCUGUCAAUCAAUUGAAGGAAAAAUAUUUUAAAAGUAUUAAUUCUUCUAUGAAUUUAGAGUGCCUGCAGAAAUAUCAGCUCGAUCUUUUCCC
RNAcentral lists this long non-coding RNA (1045 nucleotides) under Papio anubis (olive baboon). RNAcentral's name for it is "lncRNA (ENSPANG00000045471.1)". The record is from RNAcentral. Lineage: Eukaryota; Metazoa; Chordata; Mammalia; Primates; Cercopithecidae.